ACCAUCCUUGACAAUUAUUCUGGUCAGAGGCUGAUAGGUGGAUUCUGAUGGUACAGGACAAUAGACUGGAAAGUUGAUGGUGGAACAAGGAAACAUCUUGCUUCAGCGGCCCUUUCUCAUGUGAAUUGGUGGCCUGCUUGCCAGGUGAAUCAAGGAUGUGACAAAGGAAGUCUCCCUUCGCAGUCAGAGUCUCUGAGACAUUUUGAUGCACUGAAGCUUGGUGGCAGAGUGAUCGUAAAGAAAGGGCGGC
Molecule: long non-coding RNA, 250 nt
Filed under: Fukomys damarensis (Damara mole-rat)
Lineage: Eukaryota; Metazoa; Chordata; Mammalia; Rodentia; Bathyergidae
Description: lncRNA (ENSFDAG00000025325.1)
Source: RNAcentral